GCCUCCAAAAGUGCUGGGAUUACAGGCAUGAGCCACUGCACCCAGCCCGCCUUCCCAGUCUUUACAUAGAUGCUUAGGAUUCAAGGGGGUUUUCUUCUCAUUAGCAAGACUUAGGCACAAUCACUAUGCCUAGUACCAAAUCUCUACAUUCAGGAAAGAAGGUGCAACUUAGAAAUAUCAGUUCAUGAACCAUGGGUCAUCUCACUCUUUGGGAAAACACAGAGUCAAGCCAACUCUCUUGAUCUUCCAGGCAUACAAAACCUGCCUUGCCUCUCCCCAGUUUGAACAGUGCUUUUGAACUUUGAUGGAAAAGCCACAUUUGGAAGGUCAUACCACCCUUGACAAACUGCAGUCCCUACUGGCCAUUACACUGCAGAGCCGUGACAAUGAUGGAUCUCCUGUUUGGAAGAGAAUGACCCAGGACAAAAGGGGUGACCAAACCAUGGUCUAAGUGUGAUAUCUGAAGCUGCUUAAUCUGCAAAAGGAAACCCAGUCUGCAGCAUCCUCGGGAGACAGCUGGAUCAGCCAGAGAGCUUCAGAAAGACACACAUCACUCUGCCAGACACACACACUGCUCCAGCUCCAGCAUCCAACAUCUGACCACAUGUCGGCAGCCACUGCUGACCUGGCUCCACCAUUUCUCCCCAGGUCUAAGCUUAAGCCGCACUGCAUUGCUUCCAUUUCUUCAUGCUUGCUCUGUUCCCUUCUACCACAGGGGCUUUGUGCAAGCUCAGCCUCAACAUGGAUCUUCCCCCUUCUUCACCUGGUCAACAGCCACUCAUUCUUCAACCUUAGUUCGAGCAUCAUCAACCUCCCCCGCUAUGUCAGUUCUCCCUGUUAGACACCCUGGCUGUUCCACAUAUCUUUUAUUCAAAGUAGUUACAUAUUAAAGCAUUCCAUUUGUGCAUACAAUUAUUGUAGAAUUACUUCCCAGCAGACAGAUGCUAUAGGAGGGAAGAGACCUUUUCUGCUUAAGUAUCUAGUGCAGUGCCUGGCCCUUAAUAGGUGCUCAACAAAAAUUUUUAAAUGAAUGCUUAAAUACCAUAUCAUGGGUCAUGUCUGGUUGCAAAAAGAUAUUCAUCAUAAUAAAAAUAAUAAACUAUAAUUAAAAUAUACUCAUCAUCAUAAAAAUAAAUGAACUAGGCAGAUACUGGUGUUAAAGGUAUCACUGCCUUUAUUGUGGGCCAUUUUAGGAUGCAAGGCACAGUAGGGGUAAACAAUUAAGAGAGACUUCUGUAGUCUAGGAAUACAAGAGCUAGUAAAUAUAUAAUGUCUCCAGCAAGAGAAAGGAGGACAAGCAAGUCGGAGCAAGCUGCCCACUGGGGUGGGAGAAGGGAAUGAUAAAAGGGAGGAUUGGAAAUAUACACCAAAAUGCACCAUUCAUACAACGUUUCUAUUCACAACUCAGAAUUCACUGAACAAAAAAUGACCAUUCUGUAUACGAUUCCAAUUAAAUGCAUUAUUGUUGUAUCUGAUUGUGCUAGUGCCUGUCG
Molecule: long non-coding RNA, 1493 nt
Filed under: Homo sapiens (human)
Lineage: Eukaryota; Metazoa; Chordata; Mammalia; Primates; Hominidae
Description: HSALNT0300557
Source: RNAcentral